RNAcentral lists this ribosomal RNA (515 nucleotides) under uncultured bacterium. RNAcentral describes it as "partial 16S ribosomal RNA". It matches the Rfam family "Bacterial small subunit ribosomal RNA", at positions 28 to 523 of the family's 1533-position model. The record is from RNAcentral.
GAUGAACGCUGGCGGCGUGCCUAAUACAUGCAAGUCGAGCGAAUGGAUUAAGAGCUUGCUCUUAUGAAGUUAGCGGCGGACGGGUGAGUAACACGUGAGUAACCUGCCCAUAAGACUGGGAUAACUCCGGGAAACCGGGGCUACUACCGGAUAACAUUUUGAACCGCAUGGUUCGAAAUCGAAAGGCGGCUUCGGCUGUCACUUCUGGAAGGACCUGCGUCGCAUUAGCUAGUUGAUGAGGUAACGGCUCACCAAGGCAACGAUGCGUAGCCGAGCUGAGAGGGUGAUCGGCCACACUGGGACUGAGACACGGCCCAGACUCCUACGGGAGGCAGCAGUAGGGAAUCUUCCGCAAUGGACGAAAGUCUGACGGAGCAACGCCGCGUGAGUGAUGAAGGCUUUCGGGUCGUAAAACUCUGUUGUUAGGGAAGAACAAGUGCUAGUUGAAUAAGCUGGCACCUUGACGGUACCUAACCAGAAAGCCACGGCUAACUACGUGCCAGCCGCCGCCGUAA